This 312-nucleotide long non-coding RNA is filed under the name Dromaius novaehollandiae (emu). Its description in RNAcentral is "lncRNA (ENSDNVG00000012444.1)". The record is from RNAcentral. Lineage: Eukaryota; Metazoa; Chordata; Aves; Casuariiformes; Dromaiidae.
GCAGAGAUUAUGGUGAUCCACACUGUAUUAUAAGGAAUAGAUGUGAAGAAAGAAGAUCAGGCUUAAAAAGGAUUUAGUCUGGCAUGGCAGCAAGUACUCAGGAAUGUCAGGAAAUAAGAACGGAAGUAAAAAAACUACGUGGCUAGCAGGUGUUAACCCUCUGCAUACAGUAGCUAUCAAGGGUGAUACAUGCCUGGGCUGAGGAAGCUAUACAACUCAGUAUUAAGUUUACUCCAAAAUCGCUGCAGAUUUUGUCUUAAAUCUUGAACACAGGAAGCCUCAGAAGCUGCAACGUACCUUUCACUUUACGGA